GACGAACCGUGCGAACGUUAUUCGGAAUCACUGGGCUUAAAGCGCGUGUAGGCGGGCCGGCACGUCGGUCGCUGAAAUCCCCCGGCUCAACCGGGGAAGGGGCGCCGAUACGGCCGGCCUGGAGGGACGUAGGGGGGGCUGGAACUUCCGGUGGAGCGGUGAAAUGCGUUGAGAUCGGAAGGAACGCCCGUGGCGAAAGCGAGGUCCUGGACGCCUACUGACGCUGAGACGCGAAAGCCAGGGGAGCGAACGGG
This 254-nucleotide ribosomal RNA is filed under the name uncultured bacterium. RNAcentral describes it as "partial 16S ribosomal RNA". It matches the Rfam family "Bacterial small subunit ribosomal RNA", at positions 524 to 776 of the family's 1533-position model. The record is from RNAcentral.